This 169-nucleotide ribosomal RNA is filed under the name Draba oreades. RNAcentral describes it as "5.8S ribosomal RNA". It matches the Rfam family "5.8S ribosomal RNA". Rfam says of the family: 5.8S ribosomal RNA (5.8S rRNA) is a component of the large subunit of the eukaryotic ribosome. It is transcribed by RNA polymerase I as part of the 45S precursor that also contains 18S and 28S rRNA. Functionally, it is thought that 5.8S rRNA may be involved in ribosome translocation. RNAcentral also lists the same sequence under 1 other name. Lineage: Eukaryota; Viridiplantae; Streptophyta; Magnoliopsida; Brassicales; Brassicaceae. The record is from RNAcentral.
GUCUAUAACGACUCUCGGCAACGGAUAUCUCGGCUCUCGCAUCGAUGAAGAACGUAGCGAAAUGCGAUACUUGGUGUGAAUUGCAGAAUCCCGUGAACCAUCGAGUCUUUGAACGCAAGUUGCGCCCUAAGCCUUCAGGCCGAGGGCACGUCUGCCUGGGUGUCACAAA